CUACAGGUCUUGUUUAGUUUGUUAUUUUAUUUGUAUUGUUGUCUGAGGAAAAUAUGAUAUAGUCUUGAGCUGAAAAGCAUAGUUACAGAAUGCUUAGUAGUUUGAAACAAUGCACAUCAUUUCCUCAUAGUAUUGAUAAUUCUAAACAGAGCAGAACUUAAAUUACCACCACCUAAUUCAUGAGGACACCAUAUGCUCUAUGAGGAUGCUCUGCUAUGAAGUUGAGAUGUCAGUCUGAAAAUCUGGAUUCAAAAUGUUGCCUCUAACCACUGACACUCUCCAGCUGCAUCUGCAGGAAAACCAUCUUUCCUCCCAUUGCUUGUCAGUCUGUUCUACUUUCAGCCUCAGUUCAUAAAGAAAGGAGCAGAAAGCAAAAUGGGUAAUGAGGUUGCCCUGUCUCCUUACACUCACUCUGAAGUGAGGACAGCUGAACUUGUUAUUUACCAGCUGCUGAAGUGGCAAAAUUUGCAGAGUCAUGUUUUCAAGUAAAGCAUCUCUAGCUUUGGUCUGCCUGAAAUACCGCAGCCUUUACUGGAGCAGCUCAGGGGAAGAUUUUCAUCUUAACCAUUUCAACACGUGGGCCUGCUCUGCAAAAGGUGAGCCUGGAGCAAAGAGCAAGAGCCCCUUCCCAUGGUAUCCAAGUAAGAAGAGCAGAGAAAGUCUGGGAAUAGUAACCAGGUAUACAACGGCUCUGACUGCCAGACAAGUCCAUGGUGAUGUACUUGAGCUGAGACCAAGCUGGGAAGGCAAGUGAGCGGAUCAGAGAUGAGGUCAGGAUGACACAAGGCCAAGCACAGACAUCCCUACAAUGCAAUGUGGGCAAGGACUGUGGGCUGUGUCUAAGCCCAAAUGCAGCUCCUAGGCCUGGGGAGAGGACCGUGACAAGGAUGUUCUCAAUUUUCUCACACAGCUUUAGACCCAAGAUUACAGCCACACUGUGCUAGAGCUGUUCAUGAGCACCUGCAGCCAAAGCACUGCAGGAGGGAAAAGUACAGAGUGUAUUACAGCACUCAGGAGCUUGAAGCUGAGCAAGAACAAGUCAGCGAUGGAUGGAAGGCCAAGAAUGCUGAAAAAUCCACAGUGACUCUUUGACACUGUUUUUGUGGGCUUUUUCUUUUUUCUUUUUUUUUUUUCCGUUUUUGCCUGGAAGAUAUCUAGGCUUUGUUGGUCAAUUCAGUCUGUAGUUUAAAAAUAGCCUUACCUUCUGUCAUGGUAACAUAGGUCAUCCUAUGAGCCAUAACAGGAAAAAUUACAGAAAAGAAUAAAGGUUAAAAGUAUGAAAUUAUAAUAUGCA
RNAcentral lists this long non-coding RNA (1294 nucleotides) under Numida meleagris (helmeted guineafowl). Its description in RNAcentral is "lncRNA (ENSNMEG00000009008.1)". The record is from RNAcentral. Lineage: Eukaryota; Metazoa; Chordata; Aves; Galliformes; Numididae.